RNAcentral lists this small RNA (3632 nucleotides) under Pongo abelii (Sumatran orangutan). RNAcentral's name for it is "processed transcript". The record is from RNAcentral. Lineage: Eukaryota; Metazoa; Chordata; Mammalia; Primates; Hominidae.
AUAUACACUUCAGCAGGAACCAUGCCAUUUUAAUGCAGAUGAAGGAGUUAUAGACUGUUGCUUGCUGUGGGUCCCUAACAACUGUUGUGUUCUCAAACACUCCAGAAUAAAUCAGGGUAAAGUGGUCAAGUUAUAUACUAUCAAUAUAUAGGUUUGCAAAGCGUCUAGUUGUUGUAGAGUUCAAAGCAAUUUUUUGCCUAUUCUGUGAGGCAAAAAAUGAUAAGGUGUGAUCCCUGUACACUUGUAGAAGAACGAUCCUCCAGGUACUCUGCUUUUCCCAGAAGCCAUAAGCAGCCUGUGAUGGGAGCUCCACUGAUCAAGUUAAUGAAGGCGAGUUCUCUUCCCUUCUAUCACAGGUGCUGCGACAAGAGACUUUGGACAAAAAUUGACUUGAGUAGGUGUAAGGCCAUUGUGCCCCAGGCCCUCAGUGGCAUCAUCAAGAGGCAGCCAGUCAGCCUUGACCUCAGUUGGACCAACAUCUCUAAAAAGCAACUGACAUGGCUUGUCAAUAGGCUGCCAGGACUGAAAGACCUCCUCCUAGCAGGCUGCUCCUGGUCUGCAGUCUCUGCCCUCAGCACCUCCAGCUGCCCCCUUCUCAGGACCCUUGAUCUUCGGUGGGCAGUAGGAAUCAAGGACCCUCAAAUUCGGGACUUGCUUACUCCACCGGCUGAUAAACCAGGUCAGGACAAUCGCAGCAAGCUCCGGAACAUGACCGACUUCCGGCUGGCAGGCCUUGACAUCACAGAUGCCACGCUUCGCCUCAUCAUUCGCCACAUGCCCCUCCUGUCUCGACUCGACCUCAGUCACUGCAGCCACCUUACAGAUCAGUCCUCCAAUCUACUCACUGCUGUCGGGUCUUCCACUCGCUACUCUCUCACAGAGCUCAAUAUGGCAGGUUGCAAUAAAUUGACAGACCAGACCCUGAUCUACCUACGGCGCAUUGCCAACGUCACCUUGAUCGACCUUCGAGGAUGCAAGCAGAUCACUCGAAAAGCCUGCGAGCACUUCAUCUCAGACUUGUCCAUCAACAGCCUCUACUGCCUGUCUGACGAGAAGCUGAUACAGAAGAUCAGCUAAGACACACCCAGCCCAGACUCAACAGGAAACCGAUCUUCCCCUGACUCCCCACCGAGGAGAGCCUCUCCUCGACCCUGCACGGGCUCUGAGGCCAGCGUCACACUCCCUCUCUGCUCUCCUGUCCCUUGAGCUCUUCCUCUACAGGUGGGGCAGAGAGGGUGGUGGACACCAGGCUUACCUGCCUGCUCCUCUCCCUCCUAAGGAAAAGGGAGUAGCAGAUUGAUCUGAGGGGAAAGCACAGGCUGUGCUGUCAAGGCGCCUGCUCGCUUACUCGCCUGCCAGGAGGCCGGGCUCUCAGUUUGGGGUGUUUGUGCAACCUUCAUCUGCACUGGGCCCUGUGCCCCUCCUCCCCAUCCAUGGUCCCCAGCAGUGCCUGGUUCUGAGCAAACUCCCAGGGAAGAAAACGGCCCUGUCUCCAUGGCCAGGUUCUUGUGGUGUCUAGUGCGCGUCUCUCCUCCAUCACACUCUCCCGGCUUGCGCAGGAGGGGCCGGCAGCCCCAGGAGUCCCAGACCCGUGCCGAUCACACUGGUGCUGUUGAGAUGUCCCAAACCUCACGUCCUUAACUGUGCUCUCCCUCCUUUCCUCUCCCUUGAGCUUGGUUCUGCCCAGCACUCGUGCUCGUUCAUAUAAUUAGGUUUCCCACCCCAGCCUACCCGACUUACUUGCUAGUCUCUAUGAGGUCCUUAUUGCACUUAUUGGGGUUGAAGCUCUUCAGAGGAGCUGGAACUGUCUACCCCAGGGACACACCCAUUUCGUUGCUACCCAAGUGGAUUCUGAGACAGGCACCAUCUCCUUGUUCCCCCCUCUCUCUUUUGCCUCCCACUGACUGCCCUUUUCCAUGUGUCUUCAUUCUGCCUGAAGAAGGCUUUCCCAGGAUGCACGUCCUCAGAGGGAGCAGCCUAUCUCCCCCAAGCUGGAGGCGGCAGAGGACUGGGCCAAGCCCCAACCUGCCUGUGUCUAGCCCCAGUGGCUCACUGACCUUUCAGGACAGUCAGGGGGUCCUGCUUAGAAGCCAGUCACCUGCCCUCUGCCUGCAGCCAUGGAAGGGGGUGUGCAUGUGCCUCUGUGUGUGUGGCUGAGUGUAUUCCGCGCGUGUGUGUGGAGGGAGGGAGCGAGGGGAGCAUGGUGUCUCCCGCUCCACCGCCCUUUGUCGAGCCCCAUCAGCUGCCCCCUUUUACUUUGCAUUGAACGGCCUGUCCAAAGAUCCUCUCUCUAGGGCAGCAGAGAGCUUUUUGCACUUUAAAAAAAAAGAAAGAAAGGUCGGAAUUUCUUUUAGGUCAAUAUUUUUAAGUGUGUGAGGAGAUGCUCGGUAGCAGCAGCCUAUGGCAAGAGCUUAUGAUUGAUGCAAAUUUGCACUCUGCUCCCCCUCUGUAAGGAUACUGAUAGCACAACCUCUUCUUCCCCCCACCCCUGCCCUGCCUUCUGGUCCUCCAUCCCUGUCCCUUUCUGGCCCUCUCCCUGUAGCCCAGUCUCAGGCUUUCCUCUUCCUGAAGCCCUACAGAGGUAGGGAAUGGAGCCCAGGCACCAGGGGUCUGAAGUGUGAGCCACUGAGAAGAGAGACGCCAACUGCACCCUUGCCACUUCCAAAGCAAUAGAGGCAGAGUGGUCCCCUCUUUGCCACCUAGGCCAGUUUUGACCCUGGCAUUAACUGGCCUUAGAAGAAACUGGGUCCUGGUAGGGGGUGGCAUUUUGUCUGUUUCUUCCAAUCUGCUGAAUCUUUUGACUGCACCUUACAAACAGCAGUCUGUUCCCAUGACCCUCUGCCCACUUCCAUUGGUCUCCAGGCCCCAAUAAUCUGGGGUUGAAACUUUGAGGAAAUGCCAGUGACUUAUUCCAGAGUGCCUCAGUUAGGGGAACUUCUCUGUAAAGAACCCUGGGUAUUGAGCAAAAACCUUAUUAUUGUUAAUGACCUAUAAUUGGAAGCUUCCUGCCUUUUUCUUUGGUUGCUCCUGUGGAAAAUACUGAAAAGAUUACUUUGUUUUAUUUUGUUGUCUUUUUAUAAAAGGGGAGGUGGAGAGACCCCUUCAGAGCAGGGAUUGUGCCGGGAGAGUGCCUCUGACUUUGGGACAUUUCAUCCACAGAAAUUUCCAAGCCAAUGGUUUCUUUUGGGUUUUGGUUUUUAUGUUUGUUUUUUGGGGUUUGGAAAAACAUGCAUUUUUACCGUGCACGUAAAUUGGUCAGCAGAAAAGGGAGCCCAGAAGAGGCAGCAGAUGGACCAUGCCUUUGCUGGGUUUUCCUUUUCUUUGGGACUGUGAGGGGAAAUGGUUUUUAGAGGUGAGGGUUGGUCCAUGUGGAGGAAAGAAGUGUCUCUGUUGGGGGACAGAGGAACCUGGGGAGUCCAUCGCAUGUCCUACAAUCUGCUCUUAGACACGGCCUUGCCAGGAGAGCCUGCCCUCAGACUGCAGGACCAGAACCCCUGCCUCCAUCUUUCCAAGCACCGGGGCGAAAAACCACAAAGGAAAGGAAGAAAAUUUAUAUAUAUAUAAUAUAAAAUCACUUGGUGAUUAAAAAAAUAACUGCUCCAUAAAUAAAACUCCUAAAGUCACUUAUGUUU